RNAcentral lists this ribosomal RNA (255 nucleotides) under uncultured bacterium. Its description in RNAcentral is "partial 16S ribosomal RNA". It matches the Rfam family "Bacterial small subunit ribosomal RNA", at positions 99 to 354 of the family's 1533-position model. The record is from RNAcentral.
CGGACGGGUGAGUAACGCGUGGAAAACCUGCCGUAUACUGGGGGAUAACACUUAGAAAUAGGUGCUAAUACCGCAUAAGCGCACAGCUUCGCAUGAAGCGGUGUGAAAAACUCUGGUGGUAUACGAUGGAUCCGCGUCUGAUUAGCCAGUUGGCGGGGUAACGGCCCACCAAAGCGACGAUCAGUAGCCGGCCUGAGAGGGUGAACGGCCACAUUGGGACUGAGACACGGCCCAGACUCCUACGGAAGGCAGCAG